GCUACGGUUGGUGCAGGAGCGGGGGUAAUACAGGGGGUGCGAGCGGUAAGCGGAUUUACUGGGCGUAAAGAGCGCGUAUGGGGGUAGUUAAGUCAAAUGUGAAAUCCCCGAGCUUAACUUGGGAAUUGCAUUCGAUACUGGUGAGCUAGAGUAUGGGAGAGGAUGGUAGAAUUCCAGGUGUAGCGGUGAAAUGCGUAGAGAUCUGGAGGAAUACCGAUGGCGAAGGCAGCCAUCUGGCCUAAUACUGACACUGAGGUGCGAAAGCAUGGGGAGCAAACAGGAUUAGAUACCCCAGUAGUC
Molecule: ribosomal RNA, 300 nt
Filed under: uncultured Thermodesulfobacterium sp.
Lineage: Bacteria; Pseudomonadati; Thermodesulfobacteriota; Thermodesulfobacteria; Thermodesulfobacteriales; Thermodesulfobacteriaceae
Description: bacterial SSU rRNA
Rfam family: Bacterial small subunit ribosomal RNA
Source: RNAcentral